This 213-nucleotide small RNA is filed under the name Streptomyces afghaniensis. Its description in RNAcentral is "c-di-AMP sequence". It matches the Rfam family "c-di-AMP riboswitch aptamer (ydaO/yuaA leader)". Rfam says of the family: This family represents a conserved RNA structure found upstream of the ydaO and yuaA genes in Bacillus subtilis and related genes in other bacteria. The record is from RNAcentral. Lineage: Bacteria; Bacillati; Actinomycetota; Actinomycetes; Kitasatosporales; Streptomycetaceae.
UCCGGGCGGACGCCGAGUCCUGCCGCCGCCCGGAUGACCGGUCGACAGGAGUGGAUCGGCAGGAGUGGAGGACCCAAGCACGACGGGUCGCCGGGACGGUCACGCCAUGACCGGGUCCGAGCAGCCCUUGGGGUGAAGCCGCGUCAGCGGCCGGGCAACUUUGUCAGCCCGAAUCCGACAGGUCAUCCUUCACAGGCGGCUGACGAAGGGUUG